RNAcentral lists this ribosomal RNA (1054 nucleotides) under uncultured beta proteobacterium SCICEX 96A-17. RNAcentral describes it as "bacterial SSU rRNA". It matches the Rfam family "Bacterial small subunit ribosomal RNA", at positions 154 to 1204 of the family's 1533-position model. Lineage: Bacteria; Pseudomonadati; Pseudomonadota; Betaproteobacteria. The record is from RNAcentral.
AAAGGUGUGCUAAUACCGCAUAAUCUCUCAGGAGAAAAGCAGGGGAUCGCAAGACCUUGCGCUUUAGGAGCGGCCGAUGCCUGAUUAGCUUGUUGGUAAGGUAAAAGCUUACCAAGGCUUCAAUCAGUAGCUGGUCUGAGAGGACGACCAGCCACACUGGGACUGAGAUACGGCCCAGACUCCUACGGGAGGCAGCAGUGGGGAAUUUUGGACAAUGGGGGAAACCCUGAUCCAGCCAUGCCGCGUGAGUGAAGAAGGCCUUCGGGUUGUAAAGCUCUUUCAGCCGGAACGAAACGGUUACGAUUAAUACUUGUAAUUAAUGACGGUACCGGCAGAAGAAGCACCGGCUAACUACGUGCCAGCAGCCGCGGUAAUACGUAGGGUGCGAGCGUUAAUCGGAAUUACUGGGCGUAAAGGGUGCGCAGGUGGUUUUGUAAGUCAGAUGUGAAAUCCCCGGGCUUAACCUGGGAACUGCGUUUGAAACUACAAGGCUAGAGUAUGGCAGAGGGGGGUGGAAUUCCGCGUGUAGCAGUGAAAUGCGUAGAUAUGUGGAGGAACACCGAUGGCGAAGGCAGCCCCCUGGGUCAAUACUGACGCUGAGGCACGAAAGCAUGGGGAGCAAACAGGAUUAGAUACCCUGGUAGUCCAUGCCCUAAACGAUGUCAACUAGUUGUCGGGCCUUUACGGGCUUGGUAACGUAGCUAACGCGUGAAGUUGACCGCCUGGGGAGUACGAUCGCAAGAUUAAAACUCAAAUGAAUUGACGGGGACCCGCACAAGCGGUGGAUUAUGUGGAUUAAUUCGAUGCAACGCGAAAAACCUUACCUACCCUUGACAUGUAUCGAAGCCCGCAGAAAAGCGGAGGUGCCCGAAAGGGAACGAUAACACAGGUGCUGCAUGGCUGUCGUCAGCUCGUGUCGUGAGAUGUUGGGUUAAGUCCCGCAACGAGCGCAACCCUUGUCAUUAAUUGCCAUCAUUUAGUUGGGCACUUUAAUGAGACUGCCGGUGACAAACCGGAGGAAGGUGGGGAUGACGUCAAGUCCUCAUGGCCCUUA